Long non-coding RNA from Betta splendens (Siamese fighting fish), 625 nucleotides. RefSeq lists it as uncharacterized. NCBI's taxonomy places the organism in Eukaryota, Metazoa, Chordata, Actinopteri, Anabantiformes, Osphronemidae. The record is from RefSeq and is a predicted model, not a curated record. The transcript has 2 exons.
AAAGGAGGAGGAGGAGGCGGAGAAAUAAAGGGAGGAGGAGGAGGAGGAGGAGGAGGAGGAGGAGGCACAGAAAGCGUAAAAAGUCCCAGAAGAGAGGUUGAAGGUAGAAGGAGGAGAAGAAGAGCAGCCUGACAGAUGUGUGUGGCAGCUGCCUGACGACCACGUUACAGGCACCUGGUAACACCCACAACCACCACAGGUGACGUGGUGUGAGGUGGUUGAAGGGGGAGGAGGGGAGGGGGGUCUGUGUUGGGGGCGGAGCCAAAACCAGCCUCUCGCUGCUGGUGGUGAAGCGUAAACACGGAUGAUGACGGGUCCGUCUGUAUGAGCCACACUGACCUCCACUGUCACCACAACCUGAGGCUCUCUCACCAGACACCUCCAAAAACGUUACCACGGCAACCGCCACCUAUGGGUGGUGAAGUCUCCUUGAUGACACAGACCAAAUGAUGACCAUAGGACCUAGAGAGAUGUCAUCACCUGUGCUUCCGGAGGCUCAGUGCACGCUUCAACUCACUGUUGGUCUCCCUCUGAGCAAAAGACAGUCAAGACGAGACAUCAACAAUCAGUUUCAUAGAUGAUGUAGAAACAUCUGAUAGCUUCAAUAAAUCAAUUUAAUGUUAAA